CUCAGAUUCGGAUAUGUCCGACUACCGGACCAGGGAGGAUUCCCGUCCGAGGAAACGCCAUGAGAAAGGCGAAGAUCAGGCACUAAAACCUCUUAAGGGUAAGGCGCAUGCCAAGCGCAAAUCUGCCAAAGCUAGUACCCCGACCCCGCGUCAGGAUUACUCUUCGGACGAAGAGCAAGGGUCUUCACAUAACAUGUCAGUGCUGGACGAAUGGCAAGCUGACGUCUCUGAUUCAGACGACGCUUGGGGUUCGGACGAAAAAUCUGUCUCCGCCCUCAUGCGGGAGACUCUUCUGGGUGCGGCCCAGACAGAGGGUACUGAAGACACUGCGGACGCAGAACACCCUCUAGAUUCGGACACCAUUUUAGACCCUUCGGGUCAAGCGAUGUUUGAUCCCCGCAACAUCCGCCACCCCAGAUCGGGAGACUGGUCACCCCCAGAACACCUCUCCAGGUUUAUGCACCUGUGGCUUCGCAAGCCCCUGGAGAAAGAGGUCCGCAACCGGCUCAGAUCCGAAUGCCCACGCCCUUCCCUGCCAGAUAAAGUGGCUCACACUCCCGAGUUUGAUAAGGUUAUGACAACCUUCAUGAUGCGUAGUGGGAGAGACCCUCGACGAGGGGUAGAGAAAGGCCUAUUCGGCGCACAGGAUAACCUGCUGGACUCCAUUGGCCCUCUGGCCCGUAUCAUGUA
Pelobates cultripes (western spadefoot toad) is the source of this 690-nucleotide non-coding RNA. Lineage: Eukaryota; Metazoa; Chordata; Amphibia; Anura; Pelobatidae. The record is from the annotation of a GenBank genome assembly.